RNAcentral lists this ribosomal RNA (528 nucleotides) under uncultured bacterium. Its description in RNAcentral is "bacterial SSU rRNA". It matches the Rfam family "Bacterial small subunit ribosomal RNA", at positions 980 to 1509 of the family's 1533-position model. The record is from RNAcentral.
CUUGACAUCCAGAGAACUUGGCAGAGAUGCCUUGGUGCCUUCGGGACCUCUGAGACAGGUGCUGCAUGGCUGUCGUCAGCUCGUGUUGUGAAAUGUUGGGUUAAGUCCGCAACGAGCGCAACCCCUAUCCUUUGUUGCCAGCGAUUCGGUCGGGAACUCAAAGGAGACUGCCGGUGAUAAACCGGAGGAAGGUGGGGAUGACGUCAAGUCAUCAUGGCCCUUACGAGUAGGGCUACACACGUGCUACAAUGGCGCAUACAAAGAGAAGCGACCUCGCGAGAGCAAGCGGACCUCAUAAAGUGCGUCGUAGUCCGGAUCGGAGUCUGCAACUCGACUCCGUGAAGUCGGAAUCGCUAGUAAUCGUAGAUCAGAAUGCUACGGUGAAUACGUUCCCGGGCCUUGUACACACCGCCCGUCACACCAUGGGAGUGGGUUGCAAAAGAAGUAGAUAGCUUAACCUUCGGGAGGGCGUUUACCACUUUGUGAUUCGUGACUGGGGUGAAGUCGUAACAAGGUAGGCGUAGCGAG